RNAcentral lists this ribosomal RNA (230 nucleotides) under uncultured bacterium. Its description in RNAcentral is "partial 16S ribosomal RNA". It matches the Rfam family "Bacterial small subunit ribosomal RNA", at positions 109 to 339 of the family's 1533-position model. The record is from RNAcentral.
AGGAACACGUGAGAAACCUGCCUUAUACUGAGGGAUAGCCCAGAGAAAUUUGGAUUAAUACCUCAUAGUAUCAUUUGAAGGCAUCUGAGAAUGAUUAAAGAUUUAUCGGUAUAAGAUGGGCAUGCGUAAGAUUAGUUAGUUGGUGAGGUAACGGCUCACCAAGACUUCGAUCUUUAGGGGUUCUGAGAGGAUGAUCCCCCACACUGGUACUGAGACACGGUCCAGACUCC